RNAcentral lists this ribosomal RNA (460 nucleotides) under uncultured bacterium. Its description in RNAcentral is "bacterial SSU rRNA". It matches the Rfam family "Bacterial small subunit ribosomal RNA", at positions 774 to 1231 of the family's 1533-position model. The record is from RNAcentral.
AGUGAAUAGAUACCCUGGUAGUCCACGCCGUAAACGAUGAUCACUCGCUGUUGGCGAUACACAGUCAGCGGCUAAGCAAAAGCAUUAAGUGAUCCACCUGGGGAGUACGGCCGCAAGGCUGAAACUCAAAGGAAUUGACGGGGGCCCGGCACAAGCGGAGGAAACAUGUGGUUUAAUUCGAUGAUACGCGAGGAACCUUACCUGGGCUUAAACUGUAGAGUGCAUGAGGUGGAAACACUUCUUUCCUUCGGGACUCUUUGCAAGGUGCUGCAUGGUUGUCGUCAGCUCGUGCCGUGAGGUGUCGGGUUAAGUCCCAUAACGAGCGCAACCCUUAUCGUUAGUUGCCAGCGGGUAAUGCCGGGAACUCUAGCGAAACUGCCGGUGUAAACCCGAGAGGAAGGUGGGGUAUGACGUCAAAUUAGCACGGCCCUUAUGUCCAGGGCUACACACGUGUUACAAU